Molecule: transfer RNA, 73 nt
Filed under: Micromonosporaceae bacterium
Lineage: Bacteria; Bacillati; Actinomycetota; Actinomycetes; Micromonosporales; Micromonosporaceae
Also listed under: 2 other names
Description: tRNA-Asn
Rfam family: tRNA
About the family: Transfer RNA (tRNA) molecules are approximately 80 nucleotides in length. Their secondary structure includes four short double-helical elements and three loops (D, anti-codon, and T loops).
Source: RNAcentral
UCCCCCGUAGCUCAAUUGGCAGAGCGCCCGGCUGUUAACCGGUAGGUUAUAGGUUCGAGUCCUAUCGGGGGAG